AUAAGCCUGUGAUGAAAAAAGUUAUCCCUGUCUUAAAUGAUCAUGUGGAGACCUGGUAAACUGAGGCUUAC
This is a small nucleolar RNA of Tachysurus fulvidraco (yellow catfish), 71 nucleotides long. RefSeq annotates it as small nucleolar RNA R38. The transcript has a single exon. Lineage: Eukaryota; Metazoa; Chordata; Actinopteri; Siluriformes; Bagridae. The record is from RefSeq and is a predicted model, not a curated record.